UCUAAGAUGUCCUUAGACGGUGGCUCGAUCCAAAGACUCCUAAGAGGGCAAAGUUCUUUCUGCAUUUGCCACAUUGUUGGUUUAGGGAACUGCUUACGCGGAUAGUACCUGGCUUCAUCAAACGAGUAGGAUACACAUCCCUUGCAAUCUAAACCAUACUUUGGGAAGUACACACUGUUCCUCAUCCCAAGAACAUCCAAUCUCGUCUCCGAGGAAUACAUACUUGCAAAGAUUGUCACGCCGUCAAGAGUAGUACUAUUCAUCUCCUCCAAAUUUGAGGAGACAAGUUUAUACACCAUCGGUAUCUCGCUGCUACAUGUAUACAUGAGAAAGAGCUCUCCUUUCUGCUCAGCCAAGUAAAUUCUCUUCGGAAGAUUAAACCAUUCAGCAUUAUCAUUGCGCAUAUAAGCGCAUCUAUGUUCAUUCCAUGCUUGCUCACUCAUUGUGCGGGAAGCUAGAUCAAGGUCAACUAAAACACCUCCCGAGCUAAAAGAAAGCAAUCGCUUGAAAGGACAACUCACACUUUGGCAAGUUUAUAAGCUCCCUAGUAUACGGGUUGAAGAAGAACAUGUCCACUAAACUGGAUCUUCGCAUAAGCAACCAUCCGUCUUUCGAGUAACAAACAUCGGUUCCAACUACCUCGGGUAAAUUCAGUGUGUACCUCUUCCGUUCCAAUGGAUCGAAGAGAAAAGUCAUGUCUUCAUGGUUCGGAAAGGUGAUAACCCAUGGAUGCUUUUCCACAACCCGAACUGAUUCAGCAGUAGUGAGAGCCUUCUUCUCCAUCCCAUUGUUACUGACAUCUUCGUUUGACCUACAUAUAUAUAGAUUUCGAUCAUCAAAUUAACUUAUAUUUGGGUUUGUUUUUGGAGCGUAAGACAUGAAAUAUAUACAAAGCCAUGACCCAUGAGACUAAAAAUUGUCUCAACUUGAAAGUCCUAAAUUUGUUGCAAGAUGCUUCAAGAAAGCUCAAAAAACAUUAGUCUUUGAAACCCUAAUUAUUAU
Molecule: small RNA, 1002 nt
Filed under: Arabidopsis thaliana (thale cress)
Lineage: Eukaryota; Viridiplantae; Streptophyta; Magnoliopsida; Brassicales; Brassicaceae
Description: ATSL214040
Source: RNAcentral